GGGAGGUAGGUGACAAUAAAUAACAAUACGGGGUUCUUUCGGAUCUCGUAAUUGGAAUGAGUACAAUUUAAAUCUCUUAACGAGGAACAAUUGGAGGGCAAGUCUGGUGCCAGCAGCCGCGGUAAUUCCAGCUCCAAUAGCGUAUAUUAAAGUUGUUGCAGUUAAAAAGCUCGUAGUUGAAUUUCGGGAUCAAUAUGUUGGUCGUGCCUUGGUACGUACUGGCGUCAUUGGUUUCUACCUUCUGAAGAACCUCGAUGUCAUUAAUUUGGUGUCUUGGGGAAUCAGGACUGUUACUUUGAAAAAAUUAGAGUGUUUAAAGCAGGCUCACGCUUGAAUACAUUAGCAUGGAAUAAUGAAAUAGGACGUUUGAUUCUAUUUUGUUGGUUUCUAGGAUCGACGUAAUGAUUAAUAGGGAUAGUUGGG
This 423-nucleotide ribosomal RNA is filed under the name uncultured Glomeraceae. RNAcentral's name for it is "SSU rRNA". It matches the Rfam family "Eukaryotic small subunit ribosomal RNA", at positions 459 to 886 of the family's 1831-position model. The record is from RNAcentral. Lineage: Eukaryota; Fungi; Glomeromycota; Glomeromycetes; Glomerales; Glomeraceae.